Molecule: Y RNA, 102 nt
Filed under: Microcebus murinus (gray mouse lemur)
Lineage: Eukaryota; Metazoa; Chordata; Mammalia; Primates; Cheirogaleidae
Description: Y RNA (ENSMICG00000043056.1)
Rfam family: Y RNA
About the family: Y RNAs are components of the Ro ribonucleoprotein particle (Ro RNP), in association with Ro60 and La proteins. The Y RNAs and Ro60 and La proteins are well conserved, but the function of the Ro RNP is not known.
Source: Rfam by way of RNAcentral
GGCUGGUCCAAGUACAGUAGUGUUCACAACUAAUCAAUGACAACCAGUUAUAGAUUCCUUUGUUCCUUCUCCACUCCCACUGCUUCAUUUGACUAACCUAAA